Molecule: long non-coding RNA, 881 nt
Organism: Daktulosphaira vitifoliae (grape phylloxera)
Lineage: Eukaryota; Metazoa; Arthropoda; Insecta; Hemiptera; Phylloxeridae
Exons: 3
Source: RefSeq, a predicted model, not a curated record
AUAUGUACCUUUUAAAUGUUUAAAAAUAUUAAUGAAAUUUCGUAGAAAAAGAGUAUAUAUUAAUUAUAUAAAACAAACAGGAAAUAAUAAACAAUAUGUAAUGGUAGCACAUAAGAUGAAGGGUAAUAAACUAUGUCUAAAUUAUUAUAUGAGAUAUGAUUGUAUUUUAUAAUAUGUAGAUCAUUAUUGAUGAAAAUGUAAUAAAUAACAUGUAAUAAAUUACAAUUAAUAAAGAAAUAACGGUGACGUCGGGGAUUACUUCUUGCCUUUGAACUACGGUCAAAUUUAAUAUAAAAAGCCAAAAAUAAAGAGCAUUCUAAGACAGAUGCAAUCAGAUACUUACAGAGGCACUCACUACGCUCGACCAUUCCACACUACGAAACAUAUGCAAGAAGUGAUCCGCCGUCAACACAGUUAUAUUUGUUCACAAAAUACAAAAUCUAUUUAUUUAAGAGUAUAGCAGAAAAUAUCGAGGAUAUCCACUGCACACUCAAAUAGCCACCGGAUGUCUUUUGCAAUGACUGAGAAACAAUAGGUGGCUUGAUAUUUUAUACAAAAUCUUAGACACUAUUUUACCAUCCUCUGAUGAUUACACAGAUUCUGACAAAUCCUUAAUCUCACUGCUUCCAAUACAACAUCUCAUAGAAUAAAAAUCUUAUCAUGAAAUUGUUGAACUUAAUAACUUUUAUAUGAGGUCGAACCAAUUAUGUUGGACAUUCUUCGACCAUAGAUGUUUUCUUCAUACAUAAGACUUAUGAUAUGCUAUUUUCACUUUUAAUCUCAACACCAAUAGUGACUUCUGUACCGAUGUGACUUUAUGAUAAAAGUAUUGAUGUUAUUGUUUGUACUAAAAAAUUAUAAAUAUUGUAUAUUUUUAUUGU